This 1687-nucleotide ribosomal RNA is filed under the name Aulacocyclus sp. NLG-2014. RNAcentral describes it as "partial 16S ribosomal RNA". Lineage: Eukaryota; Metazoa; Arthropoda; Insecta; Coleoptera; Passalidae. The record is from RNAcentral.
UAAACUAGGAUUAGAUACCCUAUUAUUGAUAGCGUAAAUUUAAAAUAUUAAAUGAGUAAUAGUUAUGUUCUUGAAAUGUAAAAAAUUUGGCGGUAUUUUAAUCUUUUUAGAGGAACCUGUUCUGUAAUUGAUAUUCCACGAUUAAAUGUACUUUUUUUAGAAAUUUGUAUAUCGUCGAAGUUAAAUAUUUUAUAAGAAAUUAAAUAUUUAGAGUAUUGAAUAAUAUAAAAAAUCAGAUCAUGAUACAGUUUAUAGAAAAGUAGAGAUGGGUUACAAUUAGUUUAUUAAUAGAUUUUUUAUUUUAAAUAAUAAUGAAAGAGGAUUUAAUAGUAAUUUGAAUUAUUAUAUUUAAAUGAAUAGGGCUCUAAAAUGUGCACAUAUUGCCCGUCACUCCCUUUAGGGGAUAAGUCGUAACAUAGUAGCUGUAUCGGAAGAUGUAGCUAGAAAGCAAAUUGAAGCUUAUUAAAGUAUUUCAGUUACAAUGAAAGGGAGGUCAGCGGAGUGACUAAUUUGAAGGAAUUGUUUAUUUAAAUUUAUUUAAUUAAAGUAAUUGUUUAUUUAGUAUUUAAUUAGAAUUAUUUGGUUUGUUAUAGAUUAUUAGUAAAGUGAUUGAAUAAAUAAUUAAAUAAAAAGAAAAAUGUUGAUUUGUACCUUGUGUAUCAGGGUUGAUUAAUAUGAGUAUAUUAUUAUAUUUUCUCGAUAUAAAAUGAGCGAUAAAUAUAUUUAUUUUAAUGUAAAAAAAUUAUUUUUAAUAUAUUUAUAGAAAUGAGAUGUUAGUCGUAUUUUAUUAUAUCUAGUUUUUUAAGAAAUGAAUUGAAUUUAGUUAUUAAUAUUUAUUUACUUUAGUUUGUAAGUAUAUAAUAGUUAAUAUGAAAUAUUAUUAGGGAUAAGCUUAAUAAUAAAAAUUUAAUAAUAAUUAGAAUUAAUAUUUAGUGGGGAUAAAGGUUUCUAUCUAUAUAUAGUGUGUUAUUACAAGAUAUUAUUAUAAUUAGAUUUUUAUAUUAUUUAGAUUUUUUAUUAAAAUAUUUGAUUGAAUUAAAUAAUUAAAGUAAUAAUGAUUAAAUUAGUAUAUUUGUAAAUGUAGUAAUAAGUUAAAUAAAUAGGUAAAUUAAAGGAAUUCGGCAAAAAAGUUUUCGCCUGUUUAUUAAAAACAUGGUCUUUUGAUUAUGAUUUAAGAUUUGGCCUGCUCUAUGAGGAUUUAAAUGGCUGCGGUAUUUUGACCGUACAAAGGUAGCAUAAUAAUUAGUUUCUUAAUUGGGAACUGGAAUGAAUGGUUGGACGAAAAAUUAACUGUCUUAGGUUUAUUGAAUUAGAAUUUUAUAUUUAAGUAAAAAAGCUUAAAUUUUAUUAAAAGACGAGAAGACCCUAUAGAACUUUAUAGUUUAAUAAUAUUAGUAAUUUAGGUAAUUAACAUUAAUAUUAAAAUAAUUAUUUUAUUGGGGUGAUAGGAAAAUUUAAUUAACUUUUUUAUUUAGUAAAUAUUAAUGAAUAAAUGAAUGAUCCAAGAAUGUUGAUUAUUAGAUUAAGUUACCUUAGGGAUAACAGCGUAAUUCUCUUUGAUAGUUCUUAUUGGAAGGAGGGAUUGCGACCUCGAUGUUGGAUUAAAUUUAAUUGUAGGUGUAGAAGCUUAUAUAUUUGGUCUGUUCGACCAUUGAAAAUUUACAUGAUCUGAGUUAAAAACCGGAGA